GGUCCUACGGGAGGCAGCAGUGGGGAAUAUUGCACAAUGGGGGAAACCCUGAUGCAGCGACGCCGCGUGAGUGAAGAAGUAUUUCGGUAUGUAAAGCUCUAUCAGCAGGGAAGAUAAUGACGGUACCUGAGUAAGAAGCCCCGGCUAACUACGUGCCAGCAGCCGCGGUAAUACGUAGGGGGCAAGCGUUAUCCGGAUUUACUGGGUGUAAAGGGAGCGUAGACGGCCGUGCAAGUCUGAUGUGAAAACCCGGGGCUCAACCCCGGGACUGCAUUGGAAACUGCAUGGCUGGAGUGUCGGAGAGG
This 305-nucleotide ribosomal RNA is filed under the name uncultured bacterium. RNAcentral's name for it is "bacterial SSU rRNA". It matches the Rfam family "Bacterial small subunit ribosomal RNA", at positions 335 to 657 of the family's 1533-position model. The record is from RNAcentral.